GACGAACGCUGGCGGCGUGCCUAAUACAUGCAAGUUGAGCGAUGAAGAUUGGUGCUUGCACCAAUUUGAAGAGCAGCGAACGGGUGAGUAACGCGUGGGGAAUCUGCCUUUGAGCGGGGGACAACAUUUGGAAACGAAUGCUAAUACCGCAUAACAACUUUAAACAUAAGUUUUAAGUUUGAAAGAUGCAAUUGCAUCACUCAAAGAUGAUCCCGCGUUGUAUUAGCUAGUUGGUGAGGUAAAGGCUCACCAAGGCGAUGAUACAUAGCCGACCUGAGAGGGUGAUCGGCCACAUUGGGAAUGAGACACGGCCCAAACUCCUACGGGAGGAAGCAGUAGGGAAUCUUCGGCAAUGGACGAAAGUCUGACCGAGCAACGCCGCGUGAGUGAAGAAGGUUUUCGGAUCGUAAAACUCUGUUGGUAGAGAAGAACGUUGGUGAGAGUGGAAAGCUCAUCAAGUGACGGUAACUACCCAGAAAGGGACGGCUAACUACGUG
This 497-nucleotide ribosomal RNA is filed under the name uncultured bacterium. RNAcentral's name for it is "partial 16S ribosomal RNA". It matches the Rfam family "Bacterial small subunit ribosomal RNA", at positions 28 to 507 of the family's 1533-position model. The record is from RNAcentral.